RNAcentral lists this ribosomal RNA (256 nucleotides) under uncultured archaeon. RNAcentral's name for it is "partial 16S ribosomal RNA". It matches the Rfam family "Bacterial small subunit ribosomal RNA", at positions 521 to 776 of the family's 1533-position model. The record is from RNAcentral.
UAAUACGUAGGCAGCAAGCGUUGUUCGGAGUUACUGGGCGUAAAGAGUAUGUAGGCGGUGCUCCAAGUCUGGUGUGAAAUCUCCCGGCUUAACUGGGAGGGUGCGCCGGAUACUGGAGUGCUUGAGUGUGGGAGAGGAAAGCGGAAUUCCUGGUGUAGCGGUGAAAUGCGUAGAUAUCAGGAGGAACACCGGUGGUGUAGACGGCUUUCUGGACCACUACUGACGCUGAGAUACGAAAGCGUGGGGAGCAAACAGG